UUUUUAUUCAAAAUUCGAAUAGCGGUUACCGAAAUACACCAUCUUACAAAGUUUCAACUAUGUAGGCCCAACAGUUUCGGAAAUAAAUGUCUGUCCGUCCGUCCGUCCGUCCGUCCGUCCGUAUGUCACAGCCUGUUGGGCCACGAAACUGUUGGGCCUACAUAGUUGAAACUUUGUAAGAUGGUGUAUUUCGGUAACCGCUAUUCGAAUUUUGAAUAAAAAAUUAUAAAUUUAAAAAGUAAAGGGGGGCACUCCAUACAUGGAACUAAUUCAAAAAAAAAAUUUUUUCAGCUUACAUAUCCGUGAUGAGUGUUUAUGGAUAGGUCUUUAAAAAAGACAUUAAGGUUUCUAAAACCACUUUUCGUCAAAAUCAAUCGUUUGAAAGUUAGACGCUUCCAAAGUGGAAAAAUGUGUGUGGGGACACACGAAUCUAUCUUAGAAACGGUAAUACUUAUAGAAAAACUUAUAAGGACCAUUUUGUAGAGAAUUUUGAGAUCUACAAAUUUGGUCUGAGGUAUUUUUUUGAAAAAACUUACGGUUUUUGAGAAAAACUCAAAAAACCUAAAAUGUUGAACUUUGACCUCGAAUAACUUUUGAAGCACAUAUGGGAUCGAUGGGGACUUUUAAAUUUUUAAUCUUUAUAGUAAAAUAAAGGUCUGUACCAAAAUUCAGCUCUGUCGGAA
Spodoptera frugiperda (fall armyworm) is the source of this 683-nucleotide long non-coding RNA. RefSeq lists it as uncharacterized. The record is from RefSeq and is a predicted model, not a curated record. The transcript has 2 exons. NCBI's taxonomy places the organism in Eukaryota, Metazoa, Arthropoda, Insecta, Lepidoptera, Noctuidae.